AAUCAACGCUGGCGGCGUGCCUCAGACAUGCAAGUCGAACGCGAAAGUUCCCUUCGGGGAGCAAGUAGAGUGGCGCACGGGUGAGUAACACGUAGGUAAUCUACCUUUGGAUGGGGAAUAACAACCGGAAACGGUUGCUAAUACCGCAUAAUGCAGCGGCACCUAAUGGUGACAGUUGUUAAAGCGGGGGAUCGAAAGACCUCGCGUCUGAAGAGGAGCCUGCGGCGGAUAGCUAGUUGGUAAGGUAAUGGCUUACCAAGGCUUCGAUCCGUAGCCGGCCUGAGAGGGUGUUCGGGUCACACUGGGACUGAGAUACGGCCCAGACUCCUACGGGAGGCAGCAGUGGGGGAUUUUGCACAAUGGACGAAAGUCUGAUGCAGUGACGCCGCGUGGGGGA
Molecule: ribosomal RNA, 397 nt
Filed under: uncultured bacterium
Lineage: Bacteria
Description: bacterial SSU rRNA
Rfam family: Bacterial small subunit ribosomal RNA
Source: RNAcentral